RNAcentral lists this ribosomal RNA (486 nucleotides) under uncultured bacterium. RNAcentral's name for it is "bacterial SSU rRNA". It matches the Rfam family "Bacterial small subunit ribosomal RNA", at positions 29 to 530 of the family's 1533-position model. The record is from RNAcentral.
AAUGAACGCUGGCGGCGUGGAUUAGGCAUGCAAGUCGAACGCGAAAGUUCCCUUCGGGGAGCGAGUAGAGUGGCGAAAGGGUGAGUAAUGCUUGGAUGACCUGCCCUCGAGACGGGGACAACAGUUCGAAAGGACUGCUAAUACCCGAUAGUCCGGUUUAGAUGCGUCUAGAUCGGUAAAUGGUGCUUCCGCUCGAGGAGGGGUUCAAGUCCUAUCAGCUUGUUGGUGAGGUAACGGCUCACCAAGGCGAUGACGGGUAGCCGGACUGAGAGGUUGGCCGGCCACAUGGGAACUGAGACACUGUCCUGACUCCUACGGGAGGCUGCAGUCGAGAAUCUUCUGCAAUGGGCGAAAGCCUGACAGAGCGACGCCGCGUGGAGGAUGAAGGCCUUAGGGUUGUAAAGCUCUUUUACCAGGGAUGAUAAUGACAGUACCUGGAGAAUAAGCUCCGGCUAACUCCGUGCCAGCAGCCGCGGUAAUGUGACU